RNAcentral lists this ribosomal RNA (1415 nucleotides) under uncultured Bordetella sp. RNAcentral describes it as "partial 16S-23S ribosomal RNA intergenic spacer". It matches the Rfam family "Bacterial small subunit ribosomal RNA". Lineage: Bacteria; Pseudomonadati; Pseudomonadota; Betaproteobacteria; Burkholderiales; Alcaligenaceae. The record is from RNAcentral.
AGUUUGAUUAUGGCUCAGAUUGAACGCUGGCGGGAUGUUGCCACACGCAAGCUGGAACGGCAGCACGGACUUCAGUCUGGUGGCGGCGAACGGGUGAGUAAUGUAUCGGAACGGUGUUUAGUAGCGGGGAUAACUACGCGAAAGUAGCGACACGCAUACUGCCCUUCGGGGAAGAAUCUUCGGGCCUCGCACUAUUAGAGCGGCCAUAUCGAUAUCAGUUGGUGGGGUAACGGCUCACCAAGGCACAGAUCCGUAGCUGGUCAGAGGACGACCAGCCACACUGGGACCGAGACACGGCCCAGACUGCACAGAAAGGGCAGUGGGGAAUUUUAAUGGGGGGAAACCCUGAUCCAGCCAUCCUGCGAAAGAUGAAGGCCUUUGCCGGAAGUACUUUCUUGGCAGGAGAAACGGCACGAUAAUACCGUGCAACUGACGGUACUCGCAGAAUAAGCACCGGUUAACUACGCCGCAGCCGCGGUAAUAGGUGCAAGCGUUAAUCGGAAUUACUGGGCGUAAAAGCGUGCGCAGGCGGUUCGGAAAGAAAGAUGUAAAUCCCAGAGCUUAAACUUUAAACUGCAUUUUUAACUACCGAGCUAGAGUGUGUCAGAGGGAGGGAAUUCGUGGCAGUGAAAUGCGUAGAUAUGGAGGAACACUGAUGGCGUAGCGCAGCCUCCUUGGAUAAUACUGACGCUCAUGCAACAAAGCGUGGGGAGCAAACAGGAUUAGAUACCCUGUAGUCCACGCCCUAAACGAUGUCGGUCUAGCUGUUGGGGCCUUCGGGCCUUGGUAGCAGCUAACGUGGAAGUUGGACCGCCUGGGAGUACGGUCGCAAGAUUAAAACCUGAAAGGAAUUGAUUGGGACCCGCACAAGCGGUGGAUGAUGUGAUUAACGCGAUGCAACGCGGAAAACCAACACCGUCACCCUUGACAUGUCUGGAAUCCCGAAGAGAUUUGGAUGCCCAAGAGAACCGGAACACAGGUGCUGCAUGGCUGUCGUCAGCUGUGUCGGAGAUGUUGGGUUAUCCCGCAACGAGCAACCCUUGUCAUUAGUUACAUGAAAGGGCACUCUUAAUGAGACUGCCGGUGACAAACCGGAGGAAGUGGACAUCAAGUCCGCGGCCCGGCGGUAGGGCUUCACACGUCAUACAAUGGUCGGGACAGAGGUCGCUAACCCGCGAGGGGGAGCUAAUCCUAGAAACCCGAUCGUAGUCCGGAUCGCAGUCUGCAACUCGACUGCGUGAAGUCGGAAUCGCUAGUAAUCGCGGAUCAGCAUGUCGCGGUGAAUAUGUUCCCGGGUCUUGUACACACCGCCCGUCACACCAUGGGAGUGGGUUUUACCAGAAGUAGUUAGCCUAACCGUAAGGAGGGCGAUUACCACGGUAGGAUUCAUGAUCAGUAAGGCCGUAACAAGGUAG